UACGGGGGGAGCAAGCGUUGUUCGGAUUUACUGGGCGUAAAGGGCGGGUAGGCGGCCACCGCAAGUCGACUGUGAAAUCUCCGGGCUUAACCUGGGAACUGCAUUUGUGACUGCAUGGCUAGAGUGCGGCAGAGGGGGAUGGAAUUCCGCGUGUAGCAGUGAAAUGCGUAGAUAUGCGGAGGAACACCGAUGGCGAAGGCAAUCCCCUGGGCCUGCACUGACGCUCAUGCACGAAAGCGUGGGGAGCAAACAGG
This 254-nucleotide ribosomal RNA is filed under the name uncultured bacterium. RNAcentral's name for it is "partial 16S ribosomal RNA". It matches the Rfam family "Bacterial small subunit ribosomal RNA", at positions 524 to 776 of the family's 1533-position model. The record is from RNAcentral.